Molecule: transfer RNA, 64 nt
Filed under: Cosmoscarta heros
Lineage: Eukaryota; Metazoa; Arthropoda; Insecta; Hemiptera; Cercopidae
Description: tRNA-Val
Source: RNAcentral
CUUAAAUUAGUUAAAGUAUAUUAUUUACACUAGUAUUAUAAUUGUGCAAUUCAAUUUAAUUUGA